RNAcentral lists this ribosomal RNA (253 nucleotides) under uncultured bacterium. Its description in RNAcentral is "partial 16S ribosomal RNA". It matches the Rfam family "Bacterial small subunit ribosomal RNA", at positions 524 to 776 of the family's 1533-position model. The record is from RNAcentral.
UACGGAGGGUCCAAGCGUUAUCCGGAAUCAUUGGGGUUAAAGGGUCCGUAGGCGGUUUUGUAAGUCAGUGGUGAAAGCCCAUCGCUCAACGGUGGAACGGCCAUUGAUACUGCAAGACUUGAAUUAUUGGGAAGUAACUAGAAUAUGUAGUGUAGCGGUGAAAUGCUUAGAGAUUACAUGGAAUACCAAUUGCGAAGGCAGGUUACUACCAAUAUAUUGACGCUGAUGGACGAAAGCGUGGGGAGCAAAACGG